Molecule: long non-coding RNA, 321 nt
Filed under: Gallus gallus (chicken)
Lineage: Eukaryota; Metazoa; Chordata; Aves; Galliformes; Phasianidae
Source: RNAcentral
GCAGUGGGCUCUGCCGCCGUCAAGAAACACUCCUGACCGUCAGCUGCGAUUUGUCUAUGGGGAUUGUUUGCCGGAGGGGAAUUGUGACAUGCAGGACUGUAACUGCUGAAAUCCUGAGAAAGAUGAUCAUUUGGAGAAGUUUAGGGUAAUCUUGCAGAAGGGCAGAGCAUCAGUUCUGCUCAGGUUUGCUGUGUGUUGGGAGCUUCUCCUCGGUCAUCCAUAGAAGAUAUGAAGCAUCCUGCCUUCUCUCCCACUGUGACAAGAGCCGUGCCCCGAGAGCUGUAGAUGGAAAUGUAGUUCAAACCACAGCAUGACCGUCCA